GAUGAACGCUGGCGGCGUGCCUAAUACAUGCAAGUCGAGCGAACGGACGCGAAGCUUGCUUCUCUGUUGUUAGCGGCGCACGGGUGAGUCACACGUGUAUAACCCACCUAUCAUACUGGGAUCUCUUCGGGACACCGGCUAUUAUCCCGGAUGAUCUUUUGCACCACAUGGUUCAAAGGUGAAGACGGUCUUGCUGUCACUUAUUGAUGGAUCCGCGCUGCAUUAGCUAGUUGGUGAGGUACCGGCUUACCAAGGCAACGAUGCAUAGCCGACCUGAGCGGGGGAUCGGCCACACUGGAACUGAGCCACGGUCAAGACUCCUACGGUAGGCAGCAGUAGGGAAUCGUCCGCAAUGGGCGAAAACCUUACGGAGCAACGCCGCGUGAGUUAUGAAGGUCUUCGGAUCGGAAAACUCUGUUAUGAGGGAAAAACAGAUGUGGAAGGAACUGUGCACAGCUUGACGGUACCUAAUCAGAAAGCCACGGCUAACUACGUG
RNAcentral lists this ribosomal RNA (496 nucleotides) under uncultured bacterium. RNAcentral's name for it is "partial 16S ribosomal RNA". It matches the Rfam family "Bacterial small subunit ribosomal RNA", at positions 28 to 507 of the family's 1533-position model. The record is from RNAcentral.